GGAGGGUUCGCAUAGUGGCCGAGUGCAGGCGCCUUGAAAGCGCCCGAGGUUGACGCCUCCGUGGGUUCAAAUCCCACACCCUCCG
RNAcentral lists this transfer RNA (85 nucleotides) under Ornithinimicrobium humiphilum. It matches the Rfam family "tRNA". From Rfam's summary of the family: Transfer RNA (tRNA) molecules are approximately 80 nucleotides in length. Their secondary structure includes four short double-helical elements and three loops (D, anti-codon, and T loops). Further hydrogen bonds mediate the characteristic L-shaped molecular structure. tRNAs have two regions of fundamental functional importance: the anti-codon, which is responsible for specific mRNA codon recognition, and the 3' end, to which the tRNAs corresponding amino acid is attached (by aminoacyl-tRNA synthetases). tRNAs cope with the degeneracy of the genetic code in two manners: having more than one tRNA (with a specific anti-codon) for a particular amino acid; and 'wobble' base-pairing, i.e. permitting non-standard base-pairing at the 3rd anti-codon position. Lineage: Bacteria; Bacillati; Actinomycetota; Actinomycetes; Micrococcales; Ornithinimicrobiaceae. The record is from Rfam by way of RNAcentral.